Molecule: long non-coding RNA, 370 nt
Filed under: Lathyrus oleraceus (garden pea)
Lineage: Eukaryota; Viridiplantae; Streptophyta; Magnoliopsida; Fabales; Fabaceae
Description: Pisum sativum (pea) long non-coding RNA (PSAT_LNC020302)
Source: RNAcentral
UUGUUAUUGAAUUGGAACUGAUUGAUUGUUGAGAUUGUUGGAAAAAAUCGGAAUUAUUGAAGAAACUCGGUGUUGAUGUUGACAGGGUUGAGAACUCUGUCUGACAUGAGGCCUCCUCUACCUCCCCAUUGAUACUGAUUUAGCUUCUCCUUCCUUCUUCUUGGAGAAAUUACCACUAUGCCUCUUGCUAGAUGAUGCCUCUUCUUUAGUCAAACGUCCUUCACAGACUCUUUCUUCUAACCUCAUCCCCAUGUUUACCAUUUCGGUAAGAUCAUUGGGGGCGCUUGCAAUCAUACGUUCGUAAUAAAACAAACUCAACGUCUUCAGGAAAAUCUUAGUCAUCUCUUUCUCUUCAAGAGGCGGACUUAUC